This 403-nucleotide ribosomal RNA is filed under the name Verrucomicrobiota bacterium. RNAcentral describes it as "Verrucomicrobia bacterium partial 16S ribosomal RNA". It matches the Rfam family "Bacterial small subunit ribosomal RNA", at positions 355 to 776 of the family's 1533-position model. Lineage: Bacteria; Pseudomonadati; Verrucomicrobiota. The record is from RNAcentral.
UGGGGAAUAUUGCACAAUUGGCGCAAGCCUGAUGCAGCAACGCCGCGUGAACGAUGAAGGUCUUCGGAUCGUAAAGUUCUGUUGCAGGGGAAGAUAAUGACGGUACCCUGUGAGGAAGCCCCGGCUAACUACGUGCCAGCAGCCGCGGUAAUACGUAGGGGGCUAGCGUUAUCCGGAUUUACUGGGCGUAAAGGGUGCGUAGGUGGUCUUUCAAGUCGGUGGUUAAAGGCUACGGCUCAACCGUAGUUAGCCUCCGAAACUGGAAGACUUGAGUGCAGGAGAGGAAAGUGGAAUUCCCAGUGUAGCGGUGAAAUGCGUAGAUAUUGGGAGGAACACCAGUAGCGAAGGCGGCUUUCUGGACUGCAACUGACACUGAGGCACGAAAGCGUGGGUAGCAAACAGG